This 369-nucleotide ribosomal RNA is filed under the name Triticum aestivum (bread wheat). Its description in RNAcentral is "partial small subunit ribosomal RNA". The record is from RNAcentral. Lineage: Eukaryota; Viridiplantae; Streptophyta; Magnoliopsida; Poales; Poaceae.
AUGCUUUGUCAAAUGUUAACCCAUGCAGCAUCAGCAGGAAGUUUACUGAUUGCUCGUUCUUGGAACCAUGUGGGAAGGACUGGGCAGCUUUUCAGGGUCGCUGGGUGCUUGUUCCGCUCCUCAUCAUCAGCUUAUGUAGUUAGAAGGAGAAUGGGGAAUGAACCAUGCCAUGCUUCAUCCCUCUCUUUCGUUGCUCUCACUAGAUGUAUCAUCCAUUCUGGUGCCCUCCAUUCCAACAGUACCCAAGAAAGUUGCGGGAAUCUGGACAAUUGCGCGAGCGGCCACUCCACGAACCACAGUAAUGCACUACUGAAACGUUUAUCGUCUCCUGAAGGUAGAAAGAUAGGAUGUGUGGGUUAUAAUUUAUAA